RNAcentral lists this transfer RNA (73 nucleotides) under Candidatus Woesebacteria bacterium. RNAcentral's name for it is "tRNA-Gly". It matches the Rfam family "tRNA". From Rfam's summary of the family: Transfer RNA (tRNA) molecules are approximately 80 nucleotides in length. Their secondary structure includes four short double-helical elements and three loops (D, anti-codon, and T loops). Further hydrogen bonds mediate the characteristic L-shaped molecular structure. tRNAs have two regions of fundamental functional importance: the anti-codon, which is responsible for specific mRNA codon recognition, and the 3' end, to which the tRNAs corresponding amino acid is attached (by aminoacyl-tRNA synthetases). tRNAs cope with the degeneracy of the genetic code in two manners: having more than one tRNA (with a specific anti-codon) for a particular amino acid; and 'wobble' base-pairing, i.e. permitting non-standard base-pairing at the 3rd anti-codon position. The record is from RNAcentral. Lineage: Bacteria; Candidatus Woeseibacteriota.
GCGGUGAUAGCUCAGUUGGUAGAGCGUCUGCUUCCCAAGCAGAAGGUCGCGGGUCCGAGCCCCGUUCGCCGCU